GUUAAAAAGCUCGUAGUUGGAUUUGUGGCGCGGCCGUCCGGCGGGGCUCCUUCACUGGGGCCGUUUGUCUGGUUUUCGGCCGCUCCAUUCUCGGGUAGCGUGUCGCUGGCAUUAGGUUGUCGGCUUCUUCGCGCCCGUCGUUUACUGUGAAAAAAUUAGAGUGUUCAAAGCAGGCUUAGGCCGUUGGA
RNAcentral lists this ribosomal RNA (188 nucleotides) under Asteronema ferrugineum. RNAcentral's name for it is "Asteronema ferruginea partial small subunit ribosomal RNA". The record is from RNAcentral. Lineage: Eukaryota; Phaeophyceae.